GUGACUGCGUACCUUUUGUAUAAUGGGUCAGCGACUUAUAUUCUGUAGCAAGGUUAACCGAAUAGGGGAGCCGGAGGGAAACCGAGUCUUAAUUGGGCGUUAAGUUGCAGGGUAUAGACCCGAAACCCGGUGAUCUAGCCAUGGGCAGGUUGAAGGUUGGGUAACACUAACUGGAGGACCGAACCGACUAAUGUUGAAAAAUUAGCGGAUGACCUGUGGCUGGGGGUGAAAGGCCAAUCAAACCGGGAGAUAGCUGGUUCUCCCCGAAAGCUAUUUAGGUAGCGCCUCGUGAAUUCAUCUCCGGGGGUAGAGCACUGUUUCGGCUAGGGGGCCAUCCCGGCUUACCAACCCGAUGCAAACUGCGAAUACCGGAGAAUGUUAUCACGGGAGACACACGGCGGGUGCUAACGUCCGUCGUGAAGAGGGAAACAACCCAGACCGCCAGCUAAGGUCCCAAAGUCAUGGUUAAGUGGGAAACGAUGUGGGAAGGCCCAGACAGCCAGGAUGUUGGCUUAGAAGCAGCCAUCAUUUAAAGAAAGCGUAAUAGCUCACUGGUCGAGUCGGCCUGCGCGGAAGAUGUAACGGGGCUAAACCAUGCACCGAAGCUGCGGCAGCGACACUCAGGUGUUGUUGGGUAGGGGAGCGUUCUGUAAGCCUGCGAAGGUGGCCUGUGAGGGUUGCUGGAGGUAUCAGAAGUGCGAAUGCUGACAUAAGUAACGAUAAAGCGGGUGAAAAGCCCGCUCGCCGGAAGACCAAGGGUUCCUGUCCAACGUUAAUCGGGGCAGGGUGAGUCGACCCCUAAGGCGAGGCCGAAAGGCGUAGUCGAUGGGAAACGGGUUAAUAUUCCCGUACUUGGUGUUACUGCGAAGGGGGGACGGAGAAGGCUAUGUUGGCCGGGCGACGGUUGUCCCGGUUUAAGCGUGUAGGUGUGUGUUCCAGGUAAAUCCGGUUCACUUUAACACUGAGGCGUGAUGACGAGGCACUACGGUGCUGAAGCAACAAAUGCCCUGCUUCCAGGAAAAGCCUCUAAGCAUCAGGUAACAUCAAAUCGUACCCCAAACCGACACAGGUGGUCAGGUAGAGAAUACCAAGGCGCUUGAGAGAACUCGGGUGAAGGAACUAGGCAAAAUGGUGCCGUAACUUCGGGAGAAGGCACGCUGACA
Molecule: ribosomal RNA, 1163 nt
Filed under: Salmonella enterica subsp. enterica serovar Infantis
Lineage: Bacteria; Pseudomonadati; Pseudomonadota; Gammaproteobacteria; Enterobacterales; Enterobacteriaceae
Description: partial 23S ribosomal RNA
Rfam family: Bacterial large subunit ribosomal RNA
Source: RNAcentral